Molecule: long non-coding RNA, 690 nt
Filed under: Citrus x clementina
Lineage: Eukaryota; Viridiplantae; Streptophyta; Magnoliopsida; Sapindales; Rutaceae
Description: Citrus clementina (C. clementina) long non-coding RNA (CCLE_LNC005572)
Source: RNAcentral
GACAGAAACGGCAGCCAAUCACGCGUUCCUUUUUCUAAUUUUUCUUUAGGCCGACAAUAGAUAAUAAAAUAAGUUUCAAAAAGGGAAAAAAUACUCAAAUAUCUCCUGAGAAAGGAAACUCCAUCCACUCAUCCUUGACUCAUUCUCCACCCACAUCAUUCCCGUCUGUUUCACAACUCCACUCGUCCCCAUCACCAACUUACGCUCUAAACACUUCGUCCCCUCCGUUUCCCAUCCUCCACUCGUUCUCCACCCACAUCAUCUCUCUGUUUCACAACUCCACUCGUCCCCUCACCAACCAUUGCUCUAAACACUUCGUCCCCUCCGUUUCCUUUCUCCACUUGUCCCCGUCCAUUACUUUCUAUCAAUUCAAAGUAAAAAAAAAAAAAAAAAAUCAUAACAAUUUAGAUAUAUAAAACGCACGCAUCCAGAGAUUUUUACAAAUUUAAACCAUCACUUUCUAACAAUUUAUAUUGAAAAAAAAUUCUAAUAAUUUAAAUAUAUAGAACACAAGUAAAAACGAAUUUUAUUUAAAUGUAGUGGGAAACUGAAAGUUACCGAUUAUCUGGCUACAAUUUCAUCAACGUGGUUGGCGUGGUCUUUGGCACCAAAUUCAGAUCUUUGAAUGUUGGUUUUAUUUCAUUUUUCUUUUGUUAAUGCAAAUGCAAAUCUGAGUUUAUCGGGUUUGGC